Molecule: long non-coding RNA, 2073 nt
Organism: Ahaetulla prasina
Lineage: Eukaryota; Metazoa; Chordata; Lepidosauria; Squamata; Colubridae
Exons: 2
Source: RefSeq, a predicted model, not a curated record
UUCACAUGCAAAUACUGGGAAAUCUUUUCAGCCUUAAAUUUAGAUGCCAGUGAUAAGAAUAACCAAAUGCAGAAGUGAAUGAUAAUAAUAAAUGAGGAGGGGGUAAAUAAAUAUGUUCAGUAUGUAAUUAAUUAUAUUUUGCUAAGCCAUUAUGUCCACUGUAAGGAAAUAAGGCUGAAGAGAAGAGCCAGGAAAAAGGUUAGGAUUUGAAAUGGAGGAAGGGACUUGAUGUAAAAAGGUCCUAAGAUGAGGUUUAUGAUCUUUUCUCCUCUUUUUAUUCCUCAUCGUAUUAGUUACUGUUGGAAUAGAAGCCCUUGAAGUUUGUUCUACUCGUUGGCUUCUCCUGGAGCAAUUUUGCUUUUGCUUUUAUUGGUCUGGUUGAACUCAGUGGUAGAAAAAUGUGGAUAGUGGGAGAGUCACUAUUCUCUUAAACCAGUAAGCCAGCAGCACCAGGUACAAAAUUAUAAAGUUCUUGUAUAAUUUAGCAAAAAGAAAUAGGACAUGGACAUUCAUUGAACAAAGACUACUAAGGAUUAUCAGAGAUUAUUUUCUCUGAUAAGAGAAAAAUAUAAGCAUGAAGAAUUCAGAGAAGAAUCUUAAGUGUAACCAUUUACUGAGAAAGGCAGGGCUGUCUGCUUUUGAUCCUUAAAAGAGUGUUGCCAUACAGUUUCUUGAAACACAAAGCUUGAAAGGGUCCUACAAGAGUGUUAGAGCUAACAACAACUUUUAACCAACUAAAGCAAAGCAAGAGAUGUUAACAAAAUAAAUAAAAAAUAGCAUAUAAAAUAUAUCAAAAAACAGCACAGAAAACAGUUUUAUAACAUAUUGAUACUAAAUACACAGAUUUUGUCCCUUUAUAAAACCAUUUCCUCUUUUGUUUUUUAUUUUUUGCAUUAAUGAUGUUAAACAUUAUAGAAAAGAAUGGUUUGCUCAGAUAUUCAUUCCUGACUCCAUAAGUAGAGUAUGUUUACCAAAAGAAACAAUCCAAAUGUGCACAAAAAGUAUAUUAAACAAAACCAGGUAUCUCUCUUUUAACUGUUAUUUAUUUUGUUUAUAGCACAGCUGCUCUCCUAAUCUCUUUGUACAAAGUGUAUUUGUAGAGACUCACAACAGAAACUUCCCCUGGGUGGCAUUCUUCACAAAGAGACAUGUAAAAGCUGGAACUGAACUUACAUGGGAUUAUGGUUAUAAAGCUGGAAGUAUGCCUGAGACAGAGACUACCUGCCAGUGUGAGAGUCUGAAGUGUCGGAAAAAAAUCUUGUAGAGAUUUUGUAUGUAUUAAUCUAGAACCUGGUGAAAUGGGCAGCAUACAAAUAAUGUACUUUUUUUAAAAAAAGGAUUGAUACACACCUUUUUGGAUGGAAGCAUCUCUGCCCUAUCUACAUUGAUUAAUGGAAGCAAUUCAUUCCAGUUUAGGGCUGAUUUCAGUCACUACUUUGAGUUUUGAACAGCUUCCUUGGAUUUCAGUUUUUAGUGAUUUGAGAUAGUUACAAAGAUAUUUUUUGGAUCUCAAGUUUACCAACCAACAAGGAAUUGGUAAACCAGAUACAGUGGUUCCUCAAGGUCAGGUGUAAGAUCUGCUGCUGAGAAUUUCCACUAUACUAUACACAGUAUUGAGUCAAAUGUAUGAAGUACUGAGUCAUAUGGACAAACAUACUAAUAUAGUAACAGGCAGCUAGCUUCCUAUAGUCGUAUUUGUAAAGAUGGGUUUUUUUUAGCAAACCAUUGGCUAUUGCAUGAAAAUAUGGUAUUAAUAAAAAUAUCCAAUCAAAAAAGAUUGACAGGUAUGUACUAGCAGCACACACAUGUGAAUUAUAAUCAUAUCCUACAAUAAAGCUUUGCCCCUUCCACCCAAAUUCCUAUGGACCCUCAUAAGCAAGAAGACUAGACUUGGCUUGGAGUGGCACACUUAAAAUUGAGAAAAGGUUGGUACAAAGAACUGGUCCUAAAAGACAAUAGCUGAAAUGUACUCAUUGUACUUAAUUAACUAUAUAUAUAUUAUUUUAAUAUGGCAUAUUGGUCUGUAUUUAAUCAUCUUCUUUGUUGUAUAUUAAACUUUACCAUUCCGUACCA